Molecule: ribosomal RNA, 450 nt
Filed under: uncultured Glomeromycotina
Lineage: Eukaryota; Fungi; Glomeromycota
Description: SSU rRNA
Rfam family: Eukaryotic small subunit ribosomal RNA
Source: RNAcentral
AGCAGCCGCGGUAAUUCCAGCUCCAAUAGCGUAUAUUAAAGUUGUUGCAGUUAAAAGCUCGUAGUUGAAUUUCGGGACCAAUUUGUUGGUCGUGCCUCGGUACGUACUGGUAUUAUUGGUUUCUCCCUUCUGAAGAAUCUCGAUGCCAUUAAUUUGGUGUCGUGGGGAAUCAGGACUGUUACUUUGAAAAAUUAGAGUGUUUAAAGCAAGCAUACGCUUGAAUACAUUAGCAUGGAAUAAUGAAAUAGGACGUUUGAUUCUAUUUUGUUGGUUUCUAGGAUCGACGUAAUGAUUAAUAGGGAUAGUUGGGGGCAUUAGUAUUCAAUUGUCAGAGGUGAAAUUCUUGGAUUUAUUGAAGACUAACUACUGCGAAAGCAUUUGCCAAGGAUGUUUUCAUUAAUCAAGAACGAAAGUUAGGGAUCGAAGACGAUCAGAUACCGUCGUAGUCUU